This 143-nucleotide unclassified non-coding RNA is filed under the name uncultured Mycosphaerellaceae. Its description in RNAcentral is "sequence contains ITS1". The record is from RNAcentral. Lineage: Eukaryota; Fungi; Ascomycota; Dothideomycetes; Mycosphaerellales; Mycosphaerellaceae.
CUGAGUGAGGGAGCAAUCCCGACCUCCAACCCUUUGUGAACUUAUCUUGUUGCCUCGGGGAGGACCCUGCCGCUACGUCGGUUAUCCCCCCGAGGGCCAUCAAACACUGCAUUCUUGCGUCGGAGUAUAAAGUUAAUUUAAUA